AGUGAACGCUGGCGGUAGGCCUAACACAUGCAAGUCGAACGGCAGCACAGUAAGAGCUUGCUCUUACGGGUGGCGAGUGGCGUACGGGUGAGGUAUACAUCGGAAUCUACUUUUUCGUGGGGGAUAACGUAGGGAAACUUACGCUAAUACCGCAUACGACCUACGGGUGAAAGCAGGGGAUCUUCUGACCUUGCGCGAUUGAAUGAGCCGAUGUCGGGUUAGCUAGUUGGCGGGGUAAUGGCCCACCAAGGCGACGAUCCGUAGCCGGUCUGAGAGGAUGAUCAGCGGCACUGGAGCUGAGACACGGUCCAGACUCCUACGGGAGGCAGCAGAGUGGAAUAGUAGACAAUGGGCGCAAGCCUGAUCCAGCCAUACCGCGUGGGUGAAGAAGACCUUCGGGUUGUAAAGCCCUUUUGUGGGGAGAGAAAAGCAGCAGGUUAAUACCCCGCUGUUCUGACGGUACCCAAAGAAUAAGCACCGGCUAACUUCGUG
RNAcentral lists this ribosomal RNA (492 nucleotides) under uncultured bacterium. RNAcentral's name for it is "partial 16S ribosomal RNA". It matches the Rfam family "Bacterial small subunit ribosomal RNA", at positions 29 to 507 of the family's 1533-position model. The record is from RNAcentral.